Molecule: long non-coding RNA, 1959 nt
Organism: Triticum dicoccoides
Lineage: Eukaryota; Viridiplantae; Streptophyta; Magnoliopsida; Poales; Poaceae
Exons: 2
Source: RefSeq, a predicted model, not a curated record
CUCCUCACCUCACUCACCAACCUGCCCCUAACCUUAUCCCUUCACUAUCUCCCCACUGCUCCCUAUUCCAUGGUGGCUACAAGCCCACAACACACACACACACACUCUCUCUCUCUCUACCUCCUCAGGCCGCCCAUCCUCUUCGUCCCCAUCACUGGAGCAAGGUAUCAUAGGCUCGCACUCUCCCCAAUCUUCUCGGCCCCUCCUCAUCGAGUCUGUCGCCGAAGUGCCCAAGGAUCCGCUCGAGCUCGGCAUGGUCGCUGGGCGCGGGACUCAUCUCCAUCAGAUUGGGGGCAGUGGCAAUCGUGCGUCGCAACCUCCGCGCCCGGUGCCUCCAUCUCCAUCUCGCUCGUUGGUGGCUGGUCCCUGCAAGUGCAAGCCGGCGCCAUUAGACGAUCUAUUCCCCACUUCAACUUUCAUAUCUGCCCAUUACCCACUUCUUCUAAUCCCCAUUACCCACUUCUUCUAAUCCCUAAUUGCUAUCCAUUCUUGUAUAGUACAUAUGUAGCUCAGUAGUCUAGGUUUAAGCAUGAGAGUCAUUUUAGAAUUGGGGAGAAAAAUAGAAGUUGGGGUGAUCCUAUUUUGGUAUGCCUAAUCUUGGAGUAAGUUGUUCGAUUAGACGUUCUUAACUUGGUUGCGGCAACUGUUAUGAGUGGGGAUUCCAGUUAGUUACUAUUCUUCAGGCAACCAUGCUGCGAUAAAGCUAAUUGAUUGGUGGAUUAGAAUUCUAGGUGGCUAGGGGCGAUAGGGACCAAGACAGAUGAGGUUGAUUUGGCUUGAAUCCUGACAAAGAAAUUUACUUCUAUUUUAAAAAAUGAACACAUGUUCUUAGAUGUGCAGGGUUAAGUUUCCAAAUGCGAGGUUUAUAGCAAAUCAAAGAGGAUCAAGAGAAGCAUAGUACGAUAGUACAGUAGGAUAAGCAUGUAUGACUGUAGGAUAAUACAGUUUAAAGAAUGAUGAUGGUAUGGUUCUCAUAUAUAGAGGACGGUGGUUGGCUCAAAGAGUUUAUCACCUCAAAAAUUUCCUUUCUCGGAAUAACUUGCCUUAUGAGAAGUCCAUAAACAUCUCUGGCAUCUUCAGUAAUACUUACGGCAGCUGCACAAGUGUUAUUCAUGAUAUAGCACAACCUUUUAGAUAUAUUUCUUGUUGUCCCGGACCCCCUGUUAAAACAGAAGUGCUUUUGCAGGCUUACAAGAAAUGGAUUUUGAAGACCAUCUAACUAUCUAAGAGUCAUGGAAUUCGUUCCAUCCUACAUUUUUGGGACUCUGGAAUAAACACAAAGAUGGGAAUGGGGAUGCAUACCUGCCUGCCAUACACAUUGAGAGGUUUUCAAUACUCAUCCCGAAGCUUGUCAGCGUUGUACAGAAGAAGUGAUUGACAGGUUUACUUCAUGAUAUUCUUGGCUUUUGUUUUGGCCAAAAUGAUCAGGCAGGUGUGUUGCCUGAUGAGUUUGUCGGUGCCUACGUCAGCGGCCGCGGAAGGGGGCGAUGGCCAAAACUAGCUGGGCGGCGAAGGCGCAACAAUGGCUUGCGGCGCCGACGUCUCACUGCAGUGUCUGUCUGAACAGCGACAUCAAAGAAAGACACUGAGAUUAACUGGGAUGGAACCGGCCACAUAUUGUGCACAAGAGGAUAGUCUGCACCUGCUUUCGCGAGAAGCUCUUCGGCGCGGUCGUCGUCCGCGCCGCACGGCUGCGAUGGCGCAGGACAGGCUCUGCGGCUGCGACAUACGUCCGGGUGGGCAAGGGUAGGAAGAUCCAUCUGAUUCCCGUAAGUUUAGCCACUUGUUGUUAGGCAGACGUGUUUAAUUACCAUUAAUUGUGGCUAAUUUUCUGUAGUUUAGCAUUUGUUGUUAGGACACGAACAGAAUUUGUGGAACCGUUCCGAUCUUGCGCGAGCGUGGGUCGGUGGGUCCUGCAGAGUUUUCGUCCGCCAAGUUCUUUUGUUUAAUAGUAGUGUA